Molecule: long non-coding RNA, 1016 nt
Organism: Lagopus leucura (white-tailed ptarmigan)
Lineage: Eukaryota; Metazoa; Chordata; Aves; Galliformes; Phasianidae
Exons: 3
Source: RefSeq, a predicted model, not a curated record
CCCUGUCUACCUGUGGCCUCCUGAAGCACUUGCAGCAGAUCCGCACUCCUUUGAGCUCAGUCUUAGUGCCACCCACAUCUGAGCCUCACUGGAGCUGGCAAGAACCCUGAAUGGAGCAGCCCCUCAAGCCGCUCUGGGAGGUGAGAUCUCUUCCAGUGCCCACCUCAUCCACAGCUCUGUGAGCCAUUCCAGCACAGCAAGGAGCUGCCACCACAUAACCUUGCCUGGGACUGAGGCCAUCAACCCGCUGCAUGCUCCAACAAUCCAGACAUCCACUGAGCUUCCUGCUGCCAGCCUUGACAUAAGAAGUCCAGCUGGAUGGUUUGUGCUCAUCACUCCUCUACCAGCAAUAAGAGCUCUGCUGCCUUUAAUGUCACACCCAGCUGCGGAGAACUACAUUGAAAUUGUUGGUUCUCUAGAGAGUAGUUGGGAAUGACAGCACUUAUUCUCCCUGGGACUCUGGUGAUGGAGUGGGAUCCCAGUGCCCAGAACGUGUUCAGGGAGCUGCACCUGAUCCCUGAACUACCCGCAAGACCCUUUGCAGAUGGGUGACACACAGCAAACAGAGCAGCAGCCAGCCAUUCUGCUGUGAAAGGCAGUGGGUUCAUCAUUGCUGGGGAUUUGGAGGGAUGCAGAGCUGUACCAGACAGAGCUCUCAUUAUUGGUGGGGUGCUGUGGUAUUCAAGGACAACCCCACGUCCAAGGAGAACCAAGGAACCCACCACUGACUCCUGAGUCUCUUUCCUGCCUCAUCUGCUAAUGGCUAAUGGGAAAAAAUGGGGUGACACAGCUGCUGCAAUUGGAGACCAUUUCCAAGGGACAAUUCAAGACUGUCUUGAGCAGAGUGAGGAGAAAACAAACACAGCAGUCUCUGACAGCAUGAAAGCAUUGCAAAAUGUCAACUAUCUGCUCACUACAGCUGCUGUGGGUGUCCUGCAAACCGCAGCAGCAGAAAAAAUAAUGGCAGCAAUACAGAGAGUAAAAAGCUCCUGCAAAGGGGAAGAAACCUUUAUCAA